CUGCNGGUCGACGAUUCCUACGGGAGGCAGCAGUGGGGAAUCUUAGGACAAUGGGGGAAACCCUGAUCUAGCCAUGCCGCGUGAGCGAUGAAGGCCUUAGGGUUGUAAAGUUCUUUUGUUGGGGAAGAUAAUGAUCGUGCCCAUAGAAGAAGCCCCGGAUAACUCCGUGCCAGCAGCCGCGGGAUUACUGAGGGGGCUAGCGUUGUUCGGAAUUACUGGGGGUAAAGCGCACGUAAGCGGACCGGAAAGUCAGAGGUGAAAUCCCAUGGGUCAAACUUGGAACUGCCUUUGAAACUCCUGGUCUUGACGGCCAUAGAGGUGAGUGGAAUUCCGAGUGUAGAAGGGAAAUUCAAAUAUAUUCGGAGGAACACCAUGGGCGAAUGCGGCUCACUGGCUCGAUACUGACGGUGAGGUGCUGAAGCUGGGGGAGCAAACAUGAUUAAAUACCCUGGGAGUCCACGCCAUAAAAUAUGAAUGCCAGUCGUCGGGUAGCAUGCUAUUCGGUGACGCACCUAGGGGAUUAACUCUUCCGCCUGGGGAGUACGGCCGCAAGGUUAAAACUCGAAGGAAUUGACGG
This 577-nucleotide ribosomal RNA is filed under the name uncultured Alphaproteobacteria bacterium. RNAcentral's name for it is "bacterial SSU rRNA". It matches the Rfam family "Bacterial small subunit ribosomal RNA", at positions 319 to 916 of the family's 1533-position model. The record is from RNAcentral. Lineage: Bacteria; Pseudomonadati; Pseudomonadota; Alphaproteobacteria.